This 229-nucleotide ribosomal RNA is filed under the name uncultured bacterium. RNAcentral's name for it is "partial 16S ribosomal RNA". It matches the Rfam family "Bacterial small subunit ribosomal RNA", at positions 91 to 334 of the family's 1533-position model. The record is from RNAcentral.
UAAAGUGGCGUACGGGUGGGUAACACGUGGAUCAUCUACCUCUUAGUGGGGAAUAACUCUGGGAAACCGGAGCUAAUACCGCAUAAGCCUGGAAAGGGAAAGCAGCAAUGCGCUGAGAGAGGAGUCCGCGGCCGAUUAGCUAGUUGGCAGGGUAAAAGCCUACCAAGGCAUUGAUCGGUAGCCGGCCUGAGAGGGCACACGGCCACACUGGCACUGAAACACGGGCCAG